GAUGAACGCUAGCGGCAGGCCUAACACAUGCAAGUCGAGGGGUAGCAGGAUUAAGCUUGCUUAAUUGCUGACGACCGGCGCACGGGUGCGUAACGCGUAUGCAACCUACCUUAUACUGGGGUAUAGCCCGGAGAAAUUCGGAUUAAUCCCCCAUAGUACUAACGAAUCGCAUGGUUUAUUAGUUAAAGCAUUGCGGUAUAAGAUGGGCAUGCGUCCUAUUAGCUAGAUGUUGAGGUAACGGCUCACCAUGGCUACGAUAGGUAGGGGGCCGGGGAAGGUGGUCCCCCACACUGGUACUGGGACACGGACCAGACUCCUACGGGAGGCAGCAGUGAGGAAUAUUGGUCAAUGGGCGCAAGCCUGAACCAGCCAUGCCGCGUGCAGGAAGAAUGCCCUAUGGGUUGUAAACUGCUUUUAUUUGGGAAUAAACCUCUUUACGUGUAGAGAGCUGAAGGUACCAAAUGAAUAAGCACCGGCUAACUCCGUGCCAGCCGCCGCAGUAA
RNAcentral lists this ribosomal RNA (503 nucleotides) under uncultured bacterium. RNAcentral describes it as "partial 16S ribosomal RNA". It matches the Rfam family "Bacterial small subunit ribosomal RNA", at positions 28 to 523 of the family's 1533-position model. The record is from RNAcentral.